RNAcentral lists this ribosomal RNA (229 nucleotides) under uncultured bacterium. RNAcentral's name for it is "partial 16S ribosomal RNA". It matches the Rfam family "Bacterial small subunit ribosomal RNA", at positions 568 to 796 of the family's 1533-position model. The record is from RNAcentral.
UACGUAGGCGGAAAAUUAAGUCAGUAGUGAAAUCCUGCAGCUUAACUGUAGAACUGUUAUUGAUACUGGUUUUCUUGAAUAUAGUUGAGGUAGGCGGAAUGUGUAACGUAGCGGUGAAAUGCUUAGAUAUUACACAGAACACCGAUUGCGAAGGCAGCUUACUAAGCUAUGAUUGACGCUGAGGUACGAAAGCGUGGGGAGCGAACAGGAUUAGAUACCCUGGUAGUCC